RNA transcript from Phragmites australis (common reed), 4166 nucleotides. RefSeq lists it as uncharacterized. The transcript has 5 exons. Lineage: Eukaryota; Viridiplantae; Streptophyta; Magnoliopsida; Poales; Poaceae. The record is from RefSeq and is a predicted model, not a curated record.
UGGCUGCAUGGCAGUACCCCGAGCACUACCGAGCCUCUGGGGUUCUCGGGUAAUCCUACUGCUCGAACAUGAGUGGUCGGGACCGCCUAGACCCUAGGGGCGGGUUGUCGGUGCUCGGCCUGGUUAGUCCUAUCCCGGGCGUCACCAAACCAUUGGACCUCUUGGUCAUGCCUCUGUCUGUACACUUCGUCGGUCCGGGUAUUUGAGAGGUCCCGGGUCAAAAACGAGAGCAGUCUAUAAUGAGUACUGCACUAACAGAGCGCACCAAGCAAAGAAUCUUUGCCUAUUUUCAUAAGCCUACAGAUCAAUAAUCAAGAACCAAGUAGUCGGACCGCAAGGGCCUCAGUGCCCAGGGCGCUGCUCGAACCUAUGGGGUCCUCCGGUAAUCCUACCGUUCGAACAUAAGUGGUCGGGACCGCCUACCCCCUGGUUCUGUCACCGGGUUAACAGUUCUCGGGUGCUAAAAGGACGUCUUGGGGGCUUAGGCGCUCUGCACGAGGGAACCCAUGUUCCCGGGCGCCCCGAGCUCAGGGCAUCUACCCUCUCCUGGACCGGUCAGCCAGAAGGCUGACAGCUGUCCGGUGAGUAACUAAAGUUAUAUGAAUUUCCUUUCAUAUAUACGCAAUGAACUAUUGUUCCCGAGUUAUCCUCGGGACCCUCGCAUGCUAAUCUGUUCGGCGAGACGGUCUCCUUGCCCGCAAAACCCCGCCCAUGUGCUUGCUUUUCCAGAACGACAAAAACAGACAGUAGUCGGUGUACCGUACAGGCGGCGAUGAUUGACCUAGGUCCUUUAUGGUGGCCGUGGUGCCCGGCCGGCUUAGCAGUACCCCGAGCACUACCGAGCCUCUAGGGUUCUCGGGUAAUCCUACCGCUCGAACAAAGAGUGGUUGGGACCGCCUAGACCCUAGGGGCGGGCUGUCGGUGCUCGGCCUGGUCAGUCCUACCCCGGACACCAUCAAACCGUGGGGACUCUUGUCGCAUUUUCGCCCGCUCGCGUCUCCGGUCUAUUUGUUUGAGAGGUCGCAGGGUGAAAAGCGUUCACUGGACGUGGCGUGUACCCUGCCAGAUGGAUUUGUCUCCCGAGCAAAGAAGUUCGUGCCUGUGUCUCUUUGACUCAGCAGCUGCGCACUCGCGAGGGCUCAGGGGCUAGACGCUCGGGUGGUCCCACUACUCGAACAAUGAGUGGUCGGGGCAACCUAACUUCUCGGGGGAAGACUGCUGGGCUCGGUCCAGCCGGUGCCUCUCGGGACAUCAAGCAAAAGCAAGCAACACAAAGAACAAGUACAGAGCGGAGUUUCGAUUCGAUCCCAAGGGUGACUUCUAUUAUAUUAAAAGGAACCGUUCAGGAAGGGAUCACUCCCAUAAUUACAACAUUCCAAAAAACAAAAUCUCUAACUAUUUACAGGCUCAGGAGGAGGGCAUGCGUCCCUUCGGUUUCCCACCUGGGCCGUACCAAGAGCCUGGGUUAGAAAGGUUGCAAAGAUCGCAAGAUUUUGGCGCCUGACGACAAGUCACGUGGUACCAAUGUUGUGAUCGGCCUCGAAGAAAUAGGGCCCAUCCGCAGUCUUUGGGCCAUCGCCUACCGAUGGGCCCAGGGGCUGCUGUCGGUGACAUGAGAAUCAGAGGUCCCCGAGUCCCGAGGCCAGAACAGCAGAAUGCCACGUGACGCUUUCCCUCGGGGACCAUCUCCCCGAGGCCCGAGAAGACCCAGUUCCGGGAGGGGUGCUCGGGGCCAUGAACAGUGGUCCCCGAGUACCCGUAGUUCCCCGAUGAGCCGAGAAGUACUAGUUCCGGGAGAGGGCGCUCAGGGCUAUGAACAGUGACCCCCUGAAUACCCGUAGUUCCCCGAGGACCCGAGAAGAACCAGUUCCGGGAGAGGGCGCUCGGGUCCAUGAACAGUGGUCCCCGAGUACCCGUAGUUCCCUGAGGACCCGAGAAGAGACAUAUCCGGGAGAGGGCGCUCGGGGCCAUGAACAGUGGCCCCCGAUGGCCCUCGAGCACCUAGAGUUCCCCGAGGACCUGAGAAGGUCCUUGCCGGUGGACCCCACAAGGGCUCAAUAGUGAGGUGUCAGUCUGUGGAAGGCCCGAUGCUGCAUUUAAGAGGGAGUGGCUUGUCACUUCCAACCACCCCCCACGCCUGUCGUACUGAGUACGCCAAUCCCUGUCACCGCCUGGCAGGGGGCGUGGGGACAUUUAAUACGAUGGGUCCCGUCACGCGUCACUCUGCGGGGCUUGGAGAUAUCAUCGCUGGGCCCGAAGCAUAUCGCCUGCCCCCUCUGCUGUGUCAGACCUGCUCUGACCGAGCGGGCAUGUGGGGUUGUUCGGCGGUUGCCCGGUGGGCACCCCCUCGCGCUUGCUAAAGCUAGGCGUAAUAAGCGACAAGACUGACCGAGGGCGCAUUUUCAACCCCCUGUAACAUCAAACUGCAGCUUCAUGAUGGUUGCUUUUCAUUUAUGGCUCAUGGGAACUCGUGCCCUCCUUUCUGGGCACGUCAAGUCUCUCCAACAGGAUAAAAGGGGGGUGCACCCCGGAGAACAAAGGUCGAAGGAAGUGCUAGAGGUCAUACAAAGCCAAGCUGAGCAGAGGCUCACCAAGCUCGAAGCUCUAGAUUUAGACAAAAAACCUUGUAACACAAGAGAUCCAGAGACAGGCAUUCUCAGAGCAUUAAUAGCAUACACAUAGGAGUAGGGUAUUACGCUUCAUGCGGCCCGAACCUGUCUAAAAUCCCUUGUGCAUUUACUCUCACCAGCAGACGAUCAUCCGUCCCUCCUACAUCUCACAUACUCGAAUUAAACCCACACACGAGGCGGAUCCAGAAUCAUCCCUCCGACCGAAUUUCAAAAGGGGUCCCUCAGGAUCCCCGGUUGAGGAGUUCAUCCUCCGUCAGUGUCGGUUUGGGAAGUCACUGAGAACUCACAUGAAAGUCACUGGCGACGGCCAAGUUCCUUCGCGCAGCAAUCUGUCGAUUGCGACCAUGGGGUGACUGCUGAGGAGGGAAACUCUUCUCCUUUCUUUCCUUGCGUAAUUAUUAAAUUAUUUGCAUCUCUUUUUUGAGAUUGGUUCGUGGUUACUGCCCAUGCAUCAUUUUGCUUCACACAGAAAUCAUGAUGUAAUAUAUGCUCUAAUAUCAAACUGAAGAGUUAAUUGUAUAGGUAGAGGGUUCUUGCAAGUUUCCUCUUGCACCUCAGGGCUAUCAGUUGCUAUCCUAAGAGCAGCUCUUGCUCUUCUGGAGUUGACGACGAAUGGAAGGUGGAUAUCACUGGAAGUCGGACACAGAAGUUCUCGAUGCCGAACCAAUUAUUCAGUUCCACACUGUAAUAUGGUGGUAACAUAUCCAUGGCAACAAUUCCUAAUUAUGACAUAUGGCAGGAGGUUGAAUGGCUCCGAGCUGUAAGAAAUGCAGUUGCUAACAAGAUGAAAGCUAGACCCAUCUAUGCGCCAAGCCCUUGUUGAAGAAGGUAAGAACCUGAAAGAGGGGCUUAUUGCACUGGAAUAGAAUCUUGUUCAGCUAGCUUCAAAUAGAAGCGCAAAGUAUUCCUAAUGCCACACAUCCAGAGGUUCCCGUAGGUGGUGAGGAAAGCUCUGUCGUCAGAAAGGAGAAUGGCUGUCAGAGGAGCUUCAAUUUCGUAAUCAAAGAUCACCUUCAGCUGGGAAAGGAUUUUGAUUUGUUUGACUUUGAUGCAGCUGCCGAGGUUAGUGGUUCCUAGUUCUACUACUUAAAGAAUGAAGCUGUUUUGUUGGCCAGAUGGCCCUUGUAAAUUGCGCUAUAUCGGAGGUCUCAAAGAAGGGUUUCACACCACUCAUUACUCCAGAGAUUGUAAAGUCAUCUGUUGUUGAGAAAUGCGGCUUCCAGCGGAGGGCCCAAAACACUCAGGUAUGAUCUCUCUUUUAAACGUACUAUUAAGCUAUUUAGUUAUUAUUAUAAAGACAUGAGAAUAGCCACUCUAGUACAUCUUUGGUCAGAUGACUUGUUUUUUGUUCAUGUGAUGCAACUUUGAGCCAGGCGGAUAUUUGACAAAGUUUGUAUGCGCUGAGUAGGGAGAUCACUAAAAUCCACAAGCACCUUGUUUCAGAAUGUACAAAUGAAAGCAGUGCUUUGAUGUGUUGUGAUAGAAACGUUAACUAUAUGAAAUGAAAUGACAUGUACAGUGAAGCCAUUCCAACAA